CUUGGUCAUUUAGAGGAAGUAAAAGUCGUAACAAGGUUUCCGUAGGUGAACCUGCGGAAGGAUCAUUAUCAUACAACUGAGGUGCAAAGGCUGUCGCUGACUUUUCGUCGUGCACGCCCGAGUGCUCUCAAACAUAUCCAUCUCACCCCUGUGCACCACCGCGUGGGUUCCCUUUUGGCUCGUUCCGAGGGGGGGCUCGCGUUUUCACACAAACUUGAUACGGUAUAGAAUGUCUUUGUUUGCGAUCACACGCAAUUAAUACAACUUUCAACAACGGAUCUCUUGGCUCUCGCAUCGAUGAAGAACGCAGCGAAGUGCGAUACGUAAUGUGAAUUGCAGAAUUCAGUGAAUCAUCGAAUCUCUGAACGCACCUUGCGCCCCUUGGUAUUCCGAGGGGCACACCCGUUUGAGUGUCGUGAAAAUCUCAACCUCCUCGGUUUCUUCUGGACGCCGAAGGAGGCUUGGACUUUGGAGGCCUUUGCUGGCGUCUCUCGCCAGCUCCUCUCAAAUGAAUUAGCGGGGUCCUCUUUGCCGAUCCUCGACGUGUGAUAAGAUGUUUCCAUGUCUUGGUUUCUGGCUCUGUCGCCUUUGGGACCCGCUUCUAACCGUCUCAAGUCGAGACAACGUUUGAGCGUGUCCCCCUUCUCGGGAAACACCCUCGAGCCCACGAACCCUUGACCUCAAAUCGGGUGAGACUACCCGCUGAACUUAAGCAUAUCAAUAAGCGGAGGA
Molecule: ribosomal RNA, 732 nt
Filed under: uncultured Lactarius
Lineage: Eukaryota; Fungi; Basidiomycota; Agaricomycetes; Russulales; Russulaceae
Description: eukaryotic LSU rRNA
Rfam family: 5.8S ribosomal RNA (bases 263-416)
Source: RNAcentral